Ochotona curzoniae (black-lipped pika) is the source of this 950-nucleotide long non-coding RNA. RefSeq lists it as uncharacterized. The record is from RefSeq and is a predicted model, not a curated record. The transcript is spliced from 3 exons. NCBI's taxonomy places the organism in Eukaryota, Metazoa, Chordata, Mammalia, Lagomorpha, Ochotonidae.
GGGAGUCAGUGCUGGCCACACCCCUAGCGUGCCUGCCUGAAGGCCACCAACAGGAUUCUUGUCUGUCAGAGCACCUCUACGACGUCAUUUCAUUCCAGAGUCCAUGUCCAGAACGCAGCACUAGAAUCCUCUCACUGGUUCUUUGUCCUAAACUGUACUGGUCAGGCAAUUGCACACUUCUCACUGAAAUGACUCCAUGUGCCAUCCUUACCCUGCCCUUCCUUAACUCUCUCUUGUGGUCCUGCUGUGCACCCUGGAGAUUUUCCUGGAUCAUUAAUAAGAGAAGCCACAGAAACUAGAAUUCCUAAAAACAAAACACAGCUAGAUUUCCUCUUCCCCAGUGUGGGCUGUGGAUACUAGAACGUCCCUCGGGGUCUGGUGGCACAGCAGGGACGCAAUGCUCCUUCCACGGAGGGCUUCUCUUGGGUUGGUUGUUCUGGAACCACCACCUUAAAAUUCAUUUCUGAAAAAGAAAACCUGCCUUUUCAUUUUGCAGUAUUCUAGCAGUUAUGCAAGCAACCUUGCCCACACGUGCUACACUUGGAGUUCUAGAUGGUGAUAAUUAAUGCUCAGAAUGACUGCCCUGAGAUCGGUCAUUUCCUGAGUGACCCAAGAUUCAAUGACCACGGUCUUUCCCUCAUUCAAGAUUUUCAGAAUACUAUAGUGAACCAACCCACUCUAUUUUCCUGGCAUUUACACCAUGCCACCCUUCCUGCAGCCACCCAUGCUCAGAUGACAGUCAUGUAUCAGCUGGGACAUUAGCCGGUAUGCCACAUGUGAUGUAUGUUGGGGUAGUGUACACUAUCUGGCUCAGCAGGCAGAGACACUUCACCCAUCCCCAUUUCUUUCUCUGUAGAUAGCAAAUCAGAUUGCAAAUGAGCAAGAAUGACACCAUUAAGGGAGCUAACCUUAAACCCACUCUGAUGGCAAGUAUAAUAAAUCUUUCACAA